This is a non-coding RNA of Thalassophryne amazonica, 131 nucleotides long. RefSeq annotates it as small Cajal body-specific RNA 8. The record is from RefSeq and is a predicted model, not a curated record. NCBI's taxonomy places the organism in Eukaryota, Metazoa, Chordata, Actinopteri, Batrachoidiformes, Batrachoididae. The transcript has a single exon.
AGGGAGGCAGAUACUUGGGCAGUCUUGAGCAGCGGUCUGUCCAUCACUAGUCCUCCCGACAGCAUCCUUGCUCUCUGAUGACCGUGGCGAAUUGAGUGAAAUCGCCCCGGACAGAUACGGGGCAGACACGU